CCUACGGGAGGCAGCAGUCGGGAAUAUUGCGCAAUGGAGGAAACUCUGACGCAGUGACGCCGCGUGCAGGAAGAAGGUUUUCGGAUUGUAAACUGCUUUAGACAGGGAAGAAACAAGACAGUACCUGUAAAAUAAGCUCCGGCUAACUACGUGCCAGCAGCCGCGGUAAUACGUAGGUGGCAAGCGUUAUCCGGAUUUACUGGGUGUAAAGGGCGUGUAGGCGGGAGAGCAAGUCAGACGUGAAAUUCCAGGGCUCAACCCUGGAACUGCGUUUGAAACUGUUCUUCUUGAGUGAUGGAGAGGCAGGCGGAAUUCCGUGUGUAGCGGUGAAAUGCGUAGAUAUACGGAGGAACACCAGUGGCGAAGGCGGCCUGCUGGACAUUAACUGACGCUGAGGCGCGAAAGCGUGGGGAGCAAACAGGAUUAGAUACCCCAGUAGUC
RNAcentral lists this ribosomal RNA (441 nucleotides) under uncultured bacterium. Its description in RNAcentral is "partial 16S ribosomal RNA". It matches the Rfam family "Bacterial small subunit ribosomal RNA", at positions 338 to 795 of the family's 1533-position model. The record is from RNAcentral.